AUUGAACGCUAGCGGCAUGCCUAACACAUGCAAGUCGAACGGGACAGCGCGGAGAGAACUUGUUUUUCUCUAGCGAGUUGAGUGGCGAACGGGUGAGUAAUGCGUAGGAAUCUACCUUUUAGAGGGGGGAUAACCCGAGGAAACUCGGGCUAAUACCGCGUAGUAUCUCUUUUCAUAGAAAAGUUGAAGAAAGCGGGGGGAUCCUUGAGUUUUUUUAAGGACCUCGCGCUAAAAGAUGAGCCUGCGUCGGAUUAGUUAGUUGGUGGGGUAAUAGCCCACCAAGACGAUGAUCCGGUAGCUGGUCUGAGAGGAUGAUCAGCCACACGUGGGACUGAGACACGGCCCAGACUCCUACGGGGAGGCAGCAGU
This 369-nucleotide ribosomal RNA is filed under the name uncultured bacterium. RNAcentral describes it as "partial 16S ribosomal RNA". It matches the Rfam family "Bacterial small subunit ribosomal RNA", at positions 30 to 355 of the family's 1533-position model. The record is from RNAcentral.